GGCUCGGUAGCUUAGUUGGAAAAGCACUUGUCUAGCGAAUGUGGGUCGCGAGUUCAAAUCUCACCAGAGCUG
Non-coding RNA from Aedes albopictus (Asian tiger mosquito), 72 nucleotides. The record is from Rfam. NCBI's taxonomy places the organism in Eukaryota, Metazoa, Arthropoda, Insecta, Diptera, Culicidae.